This is a long non-coding RNA of Myotis daubentonii (Daubenton's bat), 880 nucleotides long. RefSeq lists it as uncharacterized. The record is from RefSeq and is a predicted model, not a curated record. The transcript is spliced from 3 exons. Lineage: Eukaryota; Metazoa; Chordata; Mammalia; Chiroptera; Vespertilionidae.
CCCACAGUCCUCCCUCCCCUCCCGCCAGCAGCAAGUCCCAGGCAGCAGGACCCUUCAUGUCUUGUUGUCAGUGGUUGGGCUGAUGGAUUUCCCUGGUUCUCCAAACUGGCCUGGUACAUUAUUAGCCAACGGGCCCGUUUCUGUCUGCAGGGUAUGAGGCGCAUCCUCAUCCUCCCGGAAUUCCGUGGAGGCGGUGACUGAGCUGUGCCUGGUGUUGUGUUUCCCCAGCUGGACUUCACCCUGCUCAAUGAAGUGCUGUUCGUCUUGCUGGUCGUGCUUUUAAUCUACGGAAUCCUCUUAAUCUUCAUACGGUCAUACUGGUUGCAUCUGUUGUAUGCUGCACUCGGAACUGUGCUCUUCUCAUUUUACUUGGUGAUGGAUGUGCAGCUGUUGAUGGGGGGGAGCCAUCAUGUGCAGCUGGACCCUGAAGAGUAUGUGUUUGCUGCUCUGAACAUCUACUUGGAUAUAAUCAACCUUUUUAUUUUUAUUUUGCAAUUGAUUGGACGGUAGGCCCAUGGCCAAGGCUAGCUUGUGUUGACCAGAGGGAAGGAGGGCCAUCUGCGAAGUGCCGCCAGGCUCAGACAUGCAGAGGUGGCCAUCUCAUAAGCCCUGUGAUUAAAAGAAAUAUUUUAGCGCACUUAUUUUUUUUUUCAAAUGAAAGCAAACAUUCAGUUGAUGGUAGCUUUAACUUAUUGUAUAUUUUAAGUUCCAUUGUCAUGUUGCAAAACUUCCUGUGGGACAUUUCUGAUUUUUAUAAUUUCAAAAGAUGAGUAUCAAAAUACCAUACUUAAACAUUUCUUAGAUGCCUGUUAUUUUGUUGACAUUUUCCUGGCACUUAGUUAAAGCUGUAAACAUCUCUCUCUAUGAAUAAAAUUGAUUA